UGGGGAAUAUUGCACAAUGGGCGCAAGCCUGAUGCAGCCAUGCCGCGUGUAUGAAGAAGGCCUUCGGGUUGUAAAGUACUUUCAGUCGGGAGGAAGGUGUCAAGGUUAAUAACCUUGGCAAUUGACGUUACCGACAGAAGUAGCACCGGCUAACUCCGUGCCAGCAGCCGCGGUAAUACGGAGGGUGCAAGCGUUAAUCGGAAUUACUGGGCGUAAAGCGCACGCAGGCGGUUGAUUGAGUCAGAUGUGAAAUCCCCGGGCUUAACCCGGGAAUUGCAUCUGAUACUGGUCAGCUAGAGUCUUGUAGAGGGGGGUAGAAUUCCAGGUGUAGCGGUGAAAUGCGUAGAGAUCUGGAGGAAUACCGGUGGCGAAGGCGGCCCCCUGGACAAAGACUGACGCUCAGGUGCGAAAGCGUGGGGAGCAAACAGG
This 429-nucleotide ribosomal RNA is filed under the name Chloroflexota bacterium. RNAcentral describes it as "Chloroflexi bacterium partial 16S ribosomal RNA". It matches the Rfam family "Bacterial small subunit ribosomal RNA", at positions 355 to 776 of the family's 1533-position model. Lineage: Bacteria; Bacillati; Chloroflexota. The record is from RNAcentral.